GGUCGGCCGCUCCCGGGCGGCGGGCUCGGGAAGGCGGUCGAGAGGGCGCCGUUGUUCAAGGGAAAGCGGCGGGGAGCGGUGUGGGGCCGCUGGGGGCACUGCGGGCAGCCGAGGCCGCGGCUGGAGUCGGGGCUGUGCCGCCCGGGAGGGAGGGCCGGGAGCCGAGCCCGCGCUGCAGGCUGAGGGUGAGGGAGGCGGCGGCGUUUCCCUCAGGCAGCGCCGUCCUGAGGCCCUCCAACGCUGACAACGCCUCUGGAAUUAAUCUCUCCCUUUUUGUAGAAAGCGCUGGGUAUUGCUUUUGACUUUUAGCAAUGUGUCUAGAAAUGAGUGAGAUAGAGAAUGUCUGACCUAGCCGGUUUCUGCAGCCUCUCCAGGGGGUGUUCUCAAGCGAAGUAUCACCCCCGAGGUAUUUAUCUGGGGCAAGGCACGAUAAUCUCACGGUUUAAAGAGCAUCUCCUAGGCUCAGCCUUACCGAGGUGUGGGAGCACACAAAGGCCUUUGCAGCUUCUGAAGGCAGCAGACUGAGCAGUCCCUGGCACCUCUGGGAUGUUGUUGAGUAUCUUCAUAUUUACUGUUUUAUAUUGUGCCUGCUGAAAUAGGUUCCUUGUGUGACUAUACACACUUAAAGCAUCAUUUUAAAAAGUGGUUCAUUGUUUCCUGAUUCAUUUUAACAAGCUAUUUCAGGUAGCGAACACGAGUUCCAGGAUGCGUAAAAUUAACAUUUUGUGGUUUUCUCACAGAUACGUCUAAAAAUAUAGGAAUGUUUUUUAUGUCACUGUGUGCCUAACUAAAUACUUUAUGAUCUAUUUCCACUGGACAUUUUAGACCCCAACUCUUACUCAGAUCUCAGGAUAAUCUAACCAGAAUUCCAUACAAGAAAAAACAAAGACAUUAGCACGUCUGAGCUAGAGUGAAAAUUAGGUGUCAAGUCCAGAAAAAAAAAUGAUAUUUUCAAGAGGAAAUAUGAUCAGAAAAUGCAGGUUUUAUUGAAAUUGGGGACCAUUAUAUACCUUUAUCUGUGAAUUGUUCAUACAUACACAAUACAGUUACCAAGGAUUUUGGUAGGCUUCCAAAAGAUCCCAGAAGUAAUACAGGAAAUCACUGUAUAUUUGCUUAACAUUGCAAGACUUGCAAAUCACCUCUGUGUUUCAUAAAUCUUAACCAAUCUUUAUUAGAUUUGCCUCGAUUUGAGAACUUUUCCUUGAUCCUCAUGUUCAGCAGGCACUCACAGUUGUAGAGUGCUCAAGGCUAUAAACAAACCAGGCUACUACAUGUAUAAGCAUACUUAUUGGCCAGAAGUGAGGUGCAUGCUUCCUACCUUUGUUAAACUGCAGCAUAUUGUCUAAAUAGCUCAAAUAUUUUUGUAUGCAGUUGUUAGGGGUGGCAUUACACGCUUGGAAAUUGGUCAGGUAUUUGGUGAAGCGUGAGGAGUAUACAGCCUAAUUCAGGGAAAUACUCAAAGCAGAAUUUCCUGAUGCAAUCCUUGCCUUGUUCUUUGCACUCUCAGCAUUUGCAUAAAUUGAUUGAACCACUCCUGCAACAGCAAAUCACCACUGCAAGGAUGAGCAAUAGCUCUCUGCAUUAGUCCUGCAUGGUUUGUAAAUACCAGUAUCAGGAGAAUGUGCCCGUCAGGGAAUUGUGGAGAGGUGUAUAGGACCUCUUCAGGAUAGCUGUAGUGAGCUUUUAAAUUAUCUUGGGUAAUCUAAUUUAGAGGUAAUCUUGCUUGUGGCUCCACUGCAGACAAGUUAGAUGAGCCAGGAGUAAAACUGAGCAUAAUAAUUCUGGCUGUGAUUUUUUUUUUUCCCCAUCUGAGGCAGUCUUCAUAGUGUGGAGGCAUGACAAGAAAACAGUACAGCUAAAUGCAAAGUUACUCAUUUAACACAUCCCACUUGAGGACUCCACUAGACAGCAUUGGCCAAAAAAGUUAUCUGUCAGAGCCAGGCAAUGGAGUAUUAAUCAACUCAAAUAUGAGGAGCUACAAUUGUAAUGUAGUGACCAAGAAAACAAAUGCUUUCCUUGAACUUCCUGGCAAGAGAAAAUACUCCUUUUCUCCCCUGCGCCUCAAGAAAAUCAUCUGUUUACAGAAAGUCACCCUGUUUCAAAGAUGGCCACAAUAUUUUACUGGUUGAUUACUUAUUUUAGUUACCUUGGAUCAUCUUUCUUCUGCAGGUGACCUUCUACAGGACUUUAAUUGUUUUCAGAUAAGCACGGUCAAUAAAAUAAUAAAAUAUGGAAAUACCAGACCUUCUAUUUUUAUAUUCCUAUAUGCAAAUAUUCCAACGCCAGUUGAUUGAGAAUGACACCAAGCCAAAGUUUUGGCUAUACUUUUAUUUACUUCACGUACUAUGAACAUAUACAUUACAUGCUACAAAAAAAAAAAUAAAAAAAGACUUUAACUGUCAAGAAAGUGGAUAGUGUUAUAAUACAAUGGCACAUGUUCAUAUUUUUCUUCAAACUGGUUUGGUUAGAAUCCUUCCCCAAAACCAUUAACAAAAACGAAGUGUUUUAAUCUUAAGAUGAUUAGAAAUAUUUGCAUUAUUAACAAAUACAAUUCAAACAGAUUAACAAGAUUUAACCAUGUCAAAUAUUAGUAAAAAGGCUGGGGUUUACCAAAAUGAAAUAUAUAUUAAAAAACCAUAGCAGCCAGUUGUACUUUUAGUGUGAUAUAACGUGUAAAUGCACCAGAAGAACACAGUGUAAUUGAGCAUUCUGCUUUCACGGUGUAUUUCUAGAAAUGAUUAUUCUAGUUCUAACACCUGCCUAUGCACAAUAGACCAAAACCACAGCCAAAUAGAGACAAAAGAUUGUGACCAACGUUCUUAGCAAUGAUUUUUUUUUGCACGCAUUGGUAAGAAGGGAGAGAACAAAUAGAAGGAUAAACAAAGGCCACAAGAGGAUUUAAUCUACAUGUUCAUGAACAUGUGUGCUACCCUAUUUUCCUUUAAAAGAGCUCGAUAAGUUGAAAUGUCUAUUUUGCACAAAUGCAAACAUUAAUUUCUAUCACCUAUGAAACAAAAUCACAUUUCAGCUUAAACUGAAGAGGGGAAAACAGUUGUGUUAAUGUAUCUGUUGACUAAGAAAAACUGCUUGACAAGAACUUCAGAUUCUAGUGCAACAGCAGCUAUUAAGACUCCUCUAGUUUCUUUUUUUUUGCUCUUUCAAAGUGUACAAAUAUUUGCAAUUUAUACAGUCUUCACAAAAACACACCUACAAACUCUGCAGUGUAUUUGCUAGUUGACGAUUCAAUUUAAGCCAUAUUAAAAAGGCAGUAUUUGCAUAAUAAAAUUCCUUUCAGAAAAAAAGAAGUUCUUUUGGUAUGUUAAAAUAAUUGCUGAUUGGAAAGGUACAAAUGUAUGGGCUUUCGUUAAUUGGAAUUGGAAAAAAAAAA
Molecule: long non-coding RNA, 3388 nt
Organism: Anas platyrhynchos (mallard)
Lineage: Eukaryota; Metazoa; Chordata; Aves; Anseriformes; Anatidae
Source: RefSeq, a predicted model, not a curated record